Molecule: ribosomal RNA, 467 nt
Filed under: uncultured bacterium
Lineage: Bacteria
Description: partial 16S ribosomal RNA
Rfam family: Bacterial small subunit ribosomal RNA
Source: RNAcentral
GACGAACGCUGGCGGCGUGCUUAACACAUGCAAGUCGAACGGAAAGGUCCUGCUUUUGUGGGGUGCUCGAGUGGCGAACGGGUGAGUAACACGUGAGUAACCUGCCCUUGACUUUGGGAUAACUUCAGGAAACUGGGGCUAAUACCGGAUAGGAGCUCCUGCUGCAUGGUGGGGGUUGGAAAGUUUCGGCGGUUGGGGAUGGACUCGCGGCUUAUCAGCUUGUUGGUGGGGUAGUGGCUUACCAAGGCUUUGACGGGUAGCCGGCCUGAGAGGGUGACCGGCCACAUUGGGAAUGAGAUACGGCCCAGACUCCUACGGGAGGCAGCAGUGGGGAAUAUUGCACAAUGGGCGGAAGCCUGAUGCAGCAACGCCGCGUGCGGGAUGACGGCCUUCGGGUUGUAAACCGCUUUCGCCUGUGACGAAGCGUGAGUGACGGUAAUGGGUAAAGAAGCACCGGCUAACUACGU